AUGGACGGAAACAGCAUUAUGGUCAAUUCACGUGUACUUAACAGAAUAAAUGGAUGGGGUUAACGGAGGUGGACUGAAAUGGUUACGAAAGUGAAACCACAGGGACUGAAAUCGUAAUUUUUAAACUAAUGGACUGAAAUAGUGAUUUUUGACAAACCACAGGGACGAAAACAGUAAUUAACUCCUCAAAACUCAUAUAUAGACUAAUAACACGAGUAUCAUUUCCAAGCUGAAAGGUAUUCCAUUUGACACUCAAGUCUUAUGUCAAGAUUUACUUCAAGAUGAAAUGAGUAACUCUACAUACAUUUUCUAAAACGGAGGGAAGGGAUGUUUAAAAGUAACCCACCCCCCACACACGGAAAAAUUGCGAUAACAUAGUUAUUCAAGUUCUAUCAAAAAAAAAAUGGCAUUCAUUCAUGGUUAUAUAACUUCAAGCAAAAGCUUUUUAACUUGUUUCACAAAUAAAAUCAAAAAAAAACAGAAAAAGGCAAAUAUAAACUCAAGGAAAGCAGAUUUUUAGUCAUUCAUUCAAUGCUUUUUAAUUAUAUAAGCAUCUCAAGAGAAACAAACAAUUAACAAGCAGCAGUGCAACACAAUGUUAUCCGCAUCCGGCAUUACACAGAUGGUUAGCUUUCCUCUAAUCAUCAGUACUUCCUCAAUUUUACCAAAAAAAAAGAAUAGUAAUUCCUUAUGUUUAUAAAAAGAUCAGUAUUUUAGGUAUUGAGUACUUUUACUUUGGGAAGAAAUUCAAAUAAAUUCAAUCAAUUCGAUCACGAAACGCUAAUGGAAACUUCUGUUACAAAUUCAACA
This 810-nucleotide long non-coding RNA is filed under the name Helianthus annuus (common sunflower). RNAcentral describes it as "hypothetical non coding rna". The record is from RNAcentral. Lineage: Eukaryota; Viridiplantae; Streptophyta; Magnoliopsida; Asterales; Asteraceae.